This 104-nucleotide ribosomal RNA is filed under the name Streptococcus sp. HMSC072C09. The record is from RNAcentral. Lineage: Bacteria; Bacillati; Bacillota; Bacilli; Lactobacillales; Streptococcaceae.
UUAAGUGACGAUAGCCUAGGAGAUACACCUGUACCCAUGCCGAACACAGCAGUUAAGCCCUAGAACGCCGGAAGUAGUUGGGGGUUGCCCCCUGUGAGAUAAGG